This 489-nucleotide ribosomal RNA is filed under the name uncultured bacterium. RNAcentral describes it as "bacterial SSU rRNA". It matches the Rfam family "Bacterial small subunit ribosomal RNA", at positions 30 to 507 of the family's 1533-position model. The record is from RNAcentral.
AUUGAACGCUAGCGGCAUGCUUCAGACAUUGCAAGUCGAGCGGAAACGAUGGGAGCUUGCUCCCAGGCGUCGAGUGGCGGACGGGUGAGUAAUGCUUAGGAAUCUGCCCAAUAGUGGGGGACAACCAGGAGAAAUUCUGGCUAAUACCGCAUACGCACUACGGUGGAAAGCGGGGGAUCUUCGGACCUCGCGCUAUCAGAUGAGCCCGCGUCGGAUUAGCUAGUUGGUGGGGUAAAGGCUCACCAAGGCGACGAUCCGUAGCUGGUCUGAGAGGACGAUCAGCCACACUGGGACUGAGACACGGCCCAGACUCCUACGGGAGGCAGCAGUGGGGAAUAUUGGACAAUGGGGGCAACCCUGAUCCAGCAAUGCCGCGUGUGUGAAGAAGGCCUGCGGGUUGUAAAGCACUUUCAAUUGGGAAGAAAAGCAGACGGUUAAUACCUGUCCGUCUUGACGUUACCUUUACAAGAAGCACCGGCUAACUCCGUG